CACGUAGGCGGACUGUUAAGUCGGGGGUGAAAUCCUGGGGCUCAACCUCAGAAUUGCCUCCGAUACUGGCAGUCUCGAGUGCGGGAGAGGUGAGUGGAAUUCCCAGUGUAGAGGUGAAAUUCGUAGAUAUUGGGAAGAACACCAGUGGCGAAGGCGGCUCACUGGCCCGUAACUGACGCUGAGGUGCGAAAGCGUGGGGAGCAAACA
RNAcentral lists this ribosomal RNA (207 nucleotides) under uncultured bacterium. RNAcentral describes it as "partial 16S ribosomal RNA". It matches the Rfam family "Bacterial small subunit ribosomal RNA", at positions 568 to 774 of the family's 1533-position model. The record is from RNAcentral.